Long non-coding RNA from Amphibalanus amphitrite, 272 nucleotides. RefSeq lists it as uncharacterized. The transcript is spliced from 3 exons. NCBI's taxonomy places the organism in Eukaryota, Metazoa, Arthropoda, Thecostraca, Balanomorpha, Balanidae. The record is from RefSeq and is a predicted model, not a curated record.
AACAUUGACUCAGACUUGAAUCUGAUGCGGUAGGCGGUAGCCCUGACUCUGAUCCGUAGAUUUCACACCGGCGGGCGUUUUGAAUGCCCGCGAGGCCCGAGACAGGCCGAGUUCUUCGUUCGACGUUCGGUGUUCGCACUGAACAGACUGAAAUGGGAGAGGACGUUCAAGAUUACUCGUCACGUCGUUGAGGCUCGGGUCCAGGCACAUCCCCGGUUACAACACGUGGCAGCCGUGAGGAGGGUUAAACCAGCGCCGGCGGCGGUCCGCCG